CCUACGGGUGGCAGCAGUGGGGAAUAUUGCACAAUGGGGGAAACCCUGAUGCAGCGACGCCGCGUGAGUGAAGAAGUAAUUCGUUACGUAAAGCUCUAUCAGCAGGGAAGAAAUACUGACCUUACGGUCAGCAGACGGUACCUGAGUAAGAAGCCCCGGCUAACUACGUGACAGCAGCCGCGGUAAUACGUAGGGGGCAAGCGUUAUCCGGAUUUACCGGGUGUAAAGGGAGCGUAGACGGUGCGCCAAGUCUGGAGUGAAAUGCCGCAGCUUAACUGCGGAACUGCUUUGGAAACUGGCGAACUAGAGUGCGGGAGGGGUAAGCGGAAUUCCUGGUGUAGCGGUGAAAUGCGUAGAUAUUAGGAAGAACACCGGUGGCGAAGGCGGCUUACUGGACCGUAACUGACGUUGAGGCUCGAAAGCAUGGGGAGCAAACAGGAUUAGAUACCCCGGUAGUC
Molecule: ribosomal RNA, 458 nt
Filed under: uncultured bacterium
Lineage: Bacteria
Description: partial 16S ribosomal RNA
Rfam family: Bacterial small subunit ribosomal RNA
Source: RNAcentral